RNAcentral lists this ribosomal RNA (491 nucleotides) under uncultured bacterium. Its description in RNAcentral is "bacterial SSU rRNA". It matches the Rfam family "Bacterial small subunit ribosomal RNA", at positions 8 to 507 of the family's 1533-position model. The record is from RNAcentral.
AGAGUUUGAUCCUGGCUCAGGAUAAAACGCUGGCGGCGCACAUAAGACAAUGCAAGUCGAACGAACAGAAGUCAUUCUUAUAGAUUGAUGGAAGUUAGUGGCGGACUGUGAUAAAGUAUAAGUAACCUGCCUAUCAGAGGGGAACAACAGUUGGAAACGACUGCUAAUACCGCAUAUGCCAUAAGAAUCGCAUGGUUCAAGUGGGAAAGGAGAAAUCCGCUGAUAGAUGGACUUAUAUCUGAUUAGCUAGUUGGUGGGGUAAAGGCCUACCAAGGCGACGAUCAGUAGCCGGACUGAGAGGUUAAACGGCCACAUUGGGACUGAGAUACGGCCCAGACUCCUACGGGAGGCAGCAGUCGGGAAUAUUGCGCAAUGGAGGAAACUCUGACGCAGUGACGCCGCGUGCAGGAAGAAGGUUUUCGGAUUGUAAACUGCUUUAGACAGGGAAGAAAAAGACAGUACCUGUAGAAUAAGCUCCGGCUAACUACGUG